Non-coding RNA from Salmo salar (Atlantic salmon), 4821 nucleotides. The record is from RefSeq and is a predicted model, not a curated record. Lineage: Eukaryota; Metazoa; Chordata; Actinopteri; Salmoniformes; Salmonidae.
UAGCCAUAUAAGGAAUGGAACAUAUAUGACCAGGCCCUGCUACCAUUAUAACCUAUACAGCUGUCAGAUGUGGGCGUUAACAAGCAAGAACUGAGAUGGAGAAAGGUCAAGGUAAGCAUAAUAGGGUCCUUCCAUGGAAGGGCUCGGCUUUGCUACUCUGUAUUAAAGACUAUAUUGAAUUCACAAUUUCUGGUAAGAGUGUUAUGUUUCUGAGGCAAUAUUCCACGACAUAUUUGGUGAGCAUGCCAGGAGCUGAAGAGAUCUCGGACAGUGGCGUUCUUGGCUGGUGACAGUUUCUCUGGACAAUCUCGCAAACGGGUGGCCGCCCAACUAUAGCAGGUAAACCAUCUCUCUCAGGUCAGGGCGUGACACGCACCUUCAUUCUACCAAUUAAGCUUGAAUAUGAAAGAGCAAACUGGAUAAUGUAGGGCAACAUUACCCGGUAAACAGGAUUAAUAAAAUCAAUUAAAGGAUUCAGGGAGGCAAUUAUGAAUUGAAACAAUCACAUAAAACCAGAAUAAGAAGCUCAAAUUACCAGCAUUUUGAUGUCAGCAUUCCAUCAUCAGAAAAUACAUUACGAUGGGGGCCAGAUCUGGCUCUGCUCGCCUCGCAGACGUGCGAGGGGUUAGUAGAGCCAUAGAGAAUAUCAGAGCAUAAGAAGAAAGCUCCCUGUUUUAGAUGUGGGACUAUCGGGUAUGGGAAGAAUGAGUGUAAGGUGACACUGGAACCUAGUGCAUUAGCAGGAAAUGCAGCUAUACAAGAGUUUGCAUCUUUUUCAAAAGAGCAACAACCAAUCGUUUUGAGGUUAGUAAGAAUGGAACUUUCACCUAGCGGUGUAUAGUCUCUGAUCGAUCAAUGAGUGGUUCAUAGAGAUGACAGUUUAUAUGUGAUGGAAGACAUUAGAUCAAGUUUUACCUAACUUUUAUUAGAGUACCGAUGGGAUUUACAAAUAGUCCCACUUGGUAUCAUUUUGCAUUGAAACAAUAAUUUCCGUGGUGAUAAAAUAUGAUGAUUUGUUAUUAGCGUCGAAAGACGGAAAAUAAACUUAUAUGAGAGAUCACCACCUUAGUAAAUUAGUUGGAGGAACAGGCAAAGCAAAAUGUAACAUAUUUGACGUUUUCAAUUUCUGAGGGCAAGAUACAGAGAACCUGGGAUCGUGUGGCUCAGUUGGUAGAGCAUGGUGUUUGCAACGCCAGGGUUGUGGGUUCGAUUCCCACGGGGGACCAGUGCGGGGGAAAAAAGUAUGAAAUGUAUGCAUUCACUACUGUAAGUCGCUUUGGAUAAGCGCGUCUGCUAAAUGAUGUAAAUGUGAAAUGGGUAGAAACUAUGCGUUCUGUGGCAUGGCUAAACUCUCCUCACAUGCUCAGGAAAACUUAAGGGGUUUUCAAUUUUGUUAGACAUUUUAUACCGUCAUUCUCUGAAACUGCUAAGACACUUAUAGAAUGGAAUCAAGAGUGUGAGGAAAUGUUUGUCGAGUUAAAAAAGUAAUUUGGUUAAGCGCCAGCAUUGGGAUUGCCAAAUUUAAAAUGAACUUUUAAAAUGUUUUAGUUAGUUUAUGAACAUUGUGGUGGAUUGAAACAAACAUUUAGUGAUUGGAUUAAGGACAGCGGACUUACGAUGAUCGUGUUCGUUAUAUAAGUAAUACUAUUGGCUUGCUGAUUAAAAGCUAACAUUGUGAAUGUUAACGAAAUGUACACUUUCUUUUCCAGAAGGGGUUUCAUUUUCUCUUGUCGAAAUGUCCUUGGAGACUGCAACACUGGGGAAAGCAGUUAGUGAUAGUCGGCCAUUUUAAAAAGUAAAAGUAUCUGAAUUAGGCUAUAAAUGGAGUUCCGGAUAAGUGAGGCCGGUUCCUGUGUGUCCUUGACCUAUGGUUUACCAGCAAGUACACACCAAUUACCGGGAAUGAAUAUGUAUUAGUGGAUUUGUUUUGGAAGGGGUCUUUUCAAUUCAGUUUCAAAUUGGGUAUGCAGAAGGAUGGAAAUGUUUUUGAAAAUGUAUUUAAGUUGUUUCUGAAGGACAGGGAAAGAGAAGGGAGUGGAAACAUUUUAAUGGUGUCAAAUGCCCUGAAUCCUAAACAUUUCCCGUGAAGACUGAUCAACUUCACUAGAAAUGAUCGGAACAGGUGGGAUUUAAAUAUAAAAUGACUAAGAAACACCAGUCUCUAUUCAAAGUGUACAAUUACUUUGAAAUUCUAUAAUUUCCUUCGGAAAAUUAUGAAGAGUUGUAAUCUUAAAUUGACUAGUUACUCAAAUAUGUUUCUUUUUUGAUUGAAAAUGUUAUUGAAUCGUGUUUAUAGGGAAAUGAUCAGUUCCCUGGGGUUAUGAUCUUUGAGUAAAUAUACAAAUGUGCUUUGUUCAGUCUGCAUAUAGAAGGGAAUUAUAUGUUAACAAGGGAUGACAGUAUGGCUCAGUUGGUAGAGCAUGGUGUUUGCAAAGCCAGGGUUGUGGGUUCGAUUCCCACGGGGGAACAAAAUGGGGGGAAAAAUGAUUUAAAAAAUGUAUGCACUCACUACUGUAAGUCGCUCUGGAUAAGAGUGUCUGCUAAAUGACUAAAAUGUAAAUGUUACUCCAAAUGGAUUAUGAUGUAAGUAUAGAUGAUUUCAUUUUGUGUUUUUGUUUCAUUACAAAAUUUGCAACAUUGGGAUAUUGGAGUGUGGGUUUCUGCGAGGGGUUAUGUUGAUUACAUGAUCUGUAACUCGUCUGAGAGAUCGCCAGUAGAAUAAGGGAGUUAUCAUGGAAGGUGACGUCAGAAUGCUUUAAUGCAUGGGAGAGAUAUUUUUACCACAACAAGUGUGUGUGAAGCUCAAACCCUCCCUAACCGGCUGAAGAGUGAGGGACAACUGUGUCUGAUGACCUGUGAACUAUAUCUGAAAUAGACAUGCUGGAAUGAUAUGUGCUGGAGAAAGGAAGACUAAAGGGGAACGGGUUACUGACCUUUCAUUACUAGGCCACUCAUGACAGAAAAACAGGGACAAAGGGGGGCUGUAAUGAGAAUAGAUAUUACUGAUACUAAAAGUUUUUUUAGUAUAAAUGUAAAUUAUUUAAAGGGAUGAAGUGUGUUGAAUUGAGAAGGUCGAAUUUGAGUUAAAGUAAGCACUAAGGACUGUUAUUCUGAAUUUGGGUUGGACAAUUUAUAAAACGUUUUAGUUCUGAUUUGGAUAUAGAACUGUUUAAAUUUACUAGGCCUAGGGAAGCUCUGGAAACCAAUCCUGAGACAGGGAGGUUGUCAGAACUUACAGAAUGAUAGAUUAAAGGUUUUUGUUUAUUUUGUUUUAUUAUGUCAUUAGAAUUUUAAUGUUAAAUUGUAUUGAUAUAAUUAAUUGCAUAAAAGGUAUAUAGUCUGUGUUUUGCGAUAACACCCAAGGAUGGAGAAGAAAGAGACCAACAUAACAUGGGCAUAGAACGUAACGGAUGGACGUUUUCCCCAGGUUUAGUUACAUUAUGAGUAGUGGUCAUAGAACGUAACGGAUGGACGUUUUCCCCAGGUUUAGUUACAUUAUGAGUAGUAGUCAUAGAACGUAACGGAUGGACGUUUUCCCCAGGUUUAGUUACAUUAUGAGUAGUGGUCAUAGAAUGUAACGGAUGGACGUUUUCCCCAGGUUUAGUUACAUUAUGACUAGUGGUCAUAGAACGUAACGGAUGGACGUUUUCCCCAGGUUUAGUUACAUUAUGACUAGUGGUCAUAGAACGUAACGGAUGGACGUUUUCCCCAGGUUUAGUUACAUUAUGACUAGUGGUCAUAGAACGUAACGGAUGGACGUUUUCCCCAGGUUUAGUUACAUUAUGACUAGUGGUCAUAGAACGUAACGGAUGGACGUUUUCCCCAGGUUUAGUUACAUUAUGACUAGUGGUCAUAGAACGUAACGGAUGGACGUUUUCCCCAGGUUUAGUUACAUUACGAGUAGUGGUCAUAGAACGUAACGGAUGGACGUUUUCCCCAGGUUUAGUUACAUUACGAGUAGUGGUCAUAGAACGUAACGGAUGGACGUUUUCCCCAGGUUUAGUUACAUUACGAGUAGUGGUCAUAGAACGUAACGGAUGGACGUUUUCCCCAGGUUUAGUUACAUUAUGAGUAGUGGUCAUAGAACGUAACGGAUGGACGUUUUCCCCAGGUUUAGUUACAUUACGAGUAGUGGUCAUAGAACGUAACGGAUGGACGUUUUCCCCAGGUUUAGUUACAUUACGAGUAGUGGUCAUAGAACGUAACGGAUGGACGUUUUCCCCAGGUUUAGUUACAUUACGAGUAGUGGUCAUAGAACGUAACGGAUGGACGUUUUCCCCAGGUUUAGUUACAUUACGAGUAGUGGUCAUAGAACGUAACGGAUGGACGUUUUCCCCAGGUUUAGUUACAUUACGAGUAGUGGUCAUAGAACGUAACGGAUGGACGUUUUCCCCAGGUUUAGUUACAUUACGAGUAGUGGUCAUAGAACGUAACGGAUGGACGUUUUCCCCAGGUUUAGUUACAUUAUGAGUAGUGGUCAUAGAAUGUAACGGAUGGACGUUUUCCCCAGGUUUAGUUACAUUACGAGUAGUGGUCAUAGAACGUAACGGAUGGACGUUUUCCCCAGGUUUAGUUACAUUACGAGUAGUGGUCAUAGAACGUAACGGAUGGACGUUUUCCCCAGGUUUAGUUACAUUACGAGUAGUGGUCAUAGAACGUAACGGAUGGACGUUUUCCCCAGGUUUAGUUACAUUAUGACUAGUGGGCAUAGAAUGUAACGGAUGGACGUUUUCCCCAGGUUUAGUUACAUUAUGAGUAGUGGUCAUUUAUUACAAAUAUGCAGUUAUUAUAAUUUAUUUUUCUCUUUUCUUGUCUGGUCAA